This 424-nucleotide ribosomal RNA is filed under the name uncultured prokaryote. RNAcentral describes it as "bacterial SSU rRNA". It matches the Rfam family "Bacterial small subunit ribosomal RNA", at positions 355 to 796 of the family's 1533-position model. The record is from RNAcentral.
UGGGGAAUCUUGGACAAUGGGGGCAACCCUGAUCCAGCCAUGCCGCGUGGGUGAAGAAGGCCUUAGGGUUGUAAAGCCCUUUCAGUCGUGACGAUGAUGACGGUAGCGACAGAAGAAGCCCCGGCUAACUCCGUGCCAGCAGCCGCGGUAAUACGGAGGGGGCAAGCGUUGUUCGGAUUUACUGGGCGUAAAGGGCGCGUAGGCGGACGGUCAAGUCAGAGGUGAAAGGCCCGGGCUCAACCUGGGACGUGCCUUUGAAACUGAUUGUCUUGAGUGCGGAAGAGGGUGACGGAAUUCCCAGUGUAGAGGUGAAAUUCGUAGAUAUUGGGAAGAACACCGGUGGCGAAAGCGCUCUACUGGGCCAUGACUGACACUCAGAGACGAAAGCUAAGGUAGCGAAUGGGAUUAGAUACCCCUGUAGUCC